CGUGGGGCUCAAACACGCAAACCGUGAGAUCAUGACCUGAGCCAAAGCUUAACUGACUGAGCCACUCCGGGCGUCCCUAGUUUUUUUUUUUUUAAUCUUCUGAAAGUUUGCAUGACAAGAUACUUGCUCAUCUGCAAAUAAGAAGCCAAGGUGUAAGUCUCUGUUUCCUGGGGAAUCAUCCAACUUUGAUCCAUGGUCUUUAUAGGAAAGGAAAUAUGGUGUUUUGAGUUACAGCAGACACCUGACAUCCUGUGUGUAUGUGUGUGUGUGUGUGUGUGUGUGUGUGUGUGUGUGUGUAUGUGUGUUUCUCAGAAAAGAAAAUAUUCUUAAGUAUACGUCCGUAAUCAGGGGCUGCCCUCUCACCCAGAGCUAUUUAUGGUCAGUGGGGCCAUAAUUCUGCCUGCAGAAAGACGAAAGGUGCACAUUGCCAAUAUAAUCGGACGGCAGGCACAAGGUGCACUGUGUAAGGGCUGACCUCCUCUCUGUCUUUUGGUUAAUCCUGCCCUAAGACUUGUCACUUAGGAGAACGCUCCCUUCUUUUUCUUUUUCCCUUUGCAUUUCCCCAUUUCUGUUGACUCUGGUCCCCAUCUUUCAGAACCAAGAAGAUCCUUUGGAGAAAAUGAAACAUAAAACAUAACCUCAAUCCCAACAAGCUCCAAGUUCAAAGGAAAAGGCGUGGGAGCAGGAGAAAAAGUCAUAGCACACGUGAAAGAGACCUCUGUGAAGUGUCCUUGGGUCUGAGACACCUGGGUUCAAAUCUGGCUCUGCUCUUGGCCAUCUCCAUGACCUUGAGCAAAUCAUUCUGCUCUGCUCCUCUGAAAAGCUGGGCUGCCUCAUAGGGUCAUGUGAGGAUGAAGUGUAUUCAUACAUGUGAACUGAUUGGGGCCUGGCACACGAAAAUGCUCAAAUGUGAGCUGUUGUUCUUAAAAAGAAAGUCUUAGUAUGUUUGAAAAUAAGCAAUUUUUCACAAUUAUUCAUUUUCCCAUGGAAAGUGGGGUUUGAAUGAAAUCCAAGGCAGUAGAGUGCGUCCAACACUGCUGUGUGGGCCAGACUUGGAGAAGGAUAGAAUGUGCUACAGGGAGGAGCACUAAUAUUUAUUGAGUGCCAGCUGUAUGCCAAGCAUCCUUGAGAUGGUUUGCAUAAAUUAUGUUAUUAAAUGCUCACACACACACACGCAAAAAAAAAAAAAAAAAAAAAAAAAAACCACGAUGGAAGGAGGCACGAUUCAAUUUACACAAAAUUCUUUGCAAAUAUUACCUUACUGUCUCAGCCAGUCUUCCCAGCCAGCUCUGUGGGAUAGGACUGUUUCUGUUCCCAUUUCACAGAUGAGGAAAGAGAGGUGAAGCACCUUCUCACUAAUAGCCCUGUGCUGGGGAGUCCCAGACCUGGGAUCCAAACCCGGGUCCGCCUUCUUCCGAUUGACCUACAGGUUUCUGAGCACCUAGUGUGUGCGGUUCUUUGAGAAACUCUUCAUGCGGCUAAACCGUUCUUGAAAAUCUUGAGACCACUUUUCUCACUUCUCACCGCAGGUUUCCAAAAAAUGUGCCGACCCUAGAGGAGGAGGAGGGCUGCAGCUUGCAUUGAAUCAGACCCCUAAACAAUGACACAAAUAGGGAAUAGGAAUAAUAAUGAUAAUGACUCUCCAGAAAGCAGUUAUAAGGGAAUCCUUUGCUGUAAUCCUUGGCCAGGAGAAACACUGGUUAAGCCCAAAGGAGUCAAGCUGAUGGGGUGGAGAGGUUGAUGCAGGUGUCCUUUCCCCAAGGGGCGUGGCCACUGUAACUGUGAUCAUAACAGUGAGGAAGGUGAGCAGGAUCUCUCUUCGUUGAAAGUUUGCCUUACACCAGACCCUGUAGAAGUACGAGGAAGACGUGAUCUCAUGAAUUCCUACAAGGUGCCGCAGCUCAGUCUCCUCUGUUUUACUGAUUACAAAUAAUAACAACUAAGGCAAGAAGUUGGAUGGAAGUUGAACAGCUAACAAGUGGCCAGUUAUAGGAAUUGAAGGUUGGUGGUGACUUCACAUACUGUGUUCUUAAUCUCUGUCCCCAGUUGAGUAAGUCCCUUGUCCCUCCCUCUCUCCUCUCACAUCUGUUGAUUCACAAGUGCACCUGUGCUUACAUCCAUCUGUGCAUGCAUUCAUCCAUCCAUCCAUCCAUCCAUCCAUCCAUCUAUGCAUUUAUGCAUCCAUCUGUCUAUCCUCCAUCCAUCCAUCCAUCCUCCACUCCAACAGUGAGAGCAUGGCAGGCACUCUGCCCAGCACUGCCACGACCUUUAUGAACAGGACAGACGUACUCCCUGCCCUUGGGAGGAUCACUGCAGUGAGCUUCCAGCAGAUGAAGGGUAGCGCCGCUGCCGAUACUCAGGCUAUCAACAGAGAGGUUCCUUUCGAAUCCUAGCCUAAUUCACUGCUGGUUUCACUUCCCCAGAGUGGCCUCUUGGACACAAGAAGAAGGUUUCGUCUGGACAGGUUGGGGGUCAGGAAUGGUGUGAUUCAGGGGCCUGGAAGCCUUCAAGUCUCCCACCAAUGCCCCAAACUGCCUAGCAUGAGGUCUGGACUGCUCCACUCAUGGGGCUCAAGCUCUUCAUAUUGCUUAAUAAGGAGCCUGGAGAUUAGCAGUGAGCUGCCUGAAGGUUGCAAGGGGAGCAGGUGGUCAGAGGCUGUGGGGCCUGGGAGGCGUGUCCUGUGAUGUUUGCGGGCCAGAGGGAGUGCUCUGACAUUUGGAGUUCAUAGCAUCUGAACUCCGCCAUUCAUAUCUGUGGGACUCAGAUGUGUUACUUCAGCUCUCAGGGACCCAGUUUUCUCGUGCGCGAUGCACGAACCGUGAAGGCACCUACCUGGGAGGGCCUGGUGAUGAGGCACAACUCUGGCCCGUGAUCAGUGCUCCCGUUUUCCUUCCUGAUUCGUGCCCUUUGGGUAGGUUUUGUUUGGCCACACAGUAUAUUAAAAUAAAAAGGCACUGAAGUUUGAGGAUUAAGAUAUGCUAUAAAAUGAUACGGAUUAUUGGAAUUCCUUUAAAAAGUCACAAGAUCUGGCAGUGCGGGGCCCACAUUCUUGCUUGUUUUUCAACUGGCCGGGCUGUGGAGGGACUGUUUCUGAGACCCUCCAGAUUCCUGAGACCACUCCCCGCCCCAAGAUCUUUUCUUUCCCCUCUUGUAUCUGACUGGCCCCUUUAGGCUGUUGAAUUUGCAACCUCUCUCUGGAAGAUGUCCCUGUUAAAAAUAAGUGCCUGUGGUCACCUGUCAAUUAUCCCCAUGCGGUUUAUUCACAGCACUUAUUUACCUGACUGCUUUUGCUUGCCUUGGGCAUGAUGGAGGUUUUCUUCCCUUUCUUGCAGUGGGUGAAUACUCAGAAGAUGCAAAUUCUUACAAGGAUUAGGCCAUUGUGAAGGCAGCAGUCCUCAACAUUCUACAAGUCUGGUAAACCAGCAUGCAGAGAACGUGCCGUUUUGAAUGGCCUGCCUUCCCCGCACAGCCUCGUCCCACAAUAGCAUGUAUCAGGGUGUUGAGGGUUUCCUGAGAGCUGGGCACGGCUGGUGGAAGAGUGGAACGUUCUACUGGAGCACCUUGGCUUGGAUUCCAACACUGUCAGGGACCAACUGUUACUUCCGUCUUUUUUUGUGUGCCUUUUUUGGCUCUUCUGUCAGAUGAUUAAGCCCACUGCCCACCUUGGGUUGAGAGGACCUAAUUCGAUGAAUAGAUGAGAAUGUGCUUGGUAAUCCCUAGGGAACCAGGAACCAGUGAAUGAGGGAAAUCACUAGAGACUUCCCACCCACCCAUCAGUGUGAACGUUGAUUCACCAGGUCACUUGAGCUGCCGUGUGCAGGGCACUGUGCAGAGCACGUGGGGAAGACAGACGGGCCUCCACCCUUCAUGGACUGGAUGGUCGUGGGGCAGGGUGACCCCUAGAUAAACAGAAACCAGAAAAAAUUUAAAAAUCAAAUUGUUACAGGGCCACCUGGGUGGCUCAGUUGAUUAAGCGUCCGACUUUGGCUCUGACCUGUUCUGAUCAUGACUUUUGUCACGAUCUCACAGUUCCUGAGUUCAGGGCCCAGCGUCGGGCUCUGUGCCGACAGCAGCCUGAAGCCUGCUUCAGAUUCUGCGUCUGCUUCUCUCUCUGCCUCUUCCCUGCUUGCGCCCUGUCUCUCUCUCUCUCAAAAAAAAAAAAAAAAAAUUACCAAUUUUUUUAAAUAAAAAAAAAAUCAAAUUGUUACAGGCGUAGCAAUGGAAGCAGUUGGGGAACUGAGAGAAAACAAGGGGCAGCCGGUGAGGAUUUUUGGAGGGUGAGGUGGAUUAAUUUUAUUUAGUUUUGGUUGAUGGACACCUUUUGCCAGAGUAGCUCCAGACUGGUCCCAGGAAUCCCAAGUGUGGUUUGCACCCCAGUUCUGAUCUGCCAGUGAUGAAAGCAGCUUUUUCUUUUUUUUAAUAAUUGUUUUAAGUUUAUUUGUUUAUUUUGAGAGAGACAGAGAGACAGAAUCCCCAGCGGGCUAUGUAGGGUCAGUGGAGAGCCCGAUGUGGGAUCAUGACCUGAGCCCAAAUCAGGAGUGGGACGCUUCACUGACUGAGCCACCCCCCUGCCCCUUAAAGCAGCUUUUAAUAGAGUUUCUGUCCAUAUCUCUGCAAAAUUUAUUCAGUUCUGAAAUUUGAGGUAUAUUCUUUUAAGUGUUUUUUUUUUUUAACUGAAAUGUACUGCAUAAACAAAAGUGCACAUUAUUCUAAAUGCACACCUCAGUGGGUUUUCACAAACUGAACACACCCGAGUAACCCACACAUCAGACCAUCCGCCACAGCCCCCAUGCACACCGCCCCUGCUGCUUGGGUGAAUGUUUUUAAAACUUGUAAUGCUGUAUGUUUCUUUAAACGUGUAUUAGGGAAAACAUACAAAUAUAACCGUUCAAUCAAAAUGACAGCUUCAGGGCUCUUACUGCUUAGCAUGUGAGUAAAGCAGCGUUUAAGUACAAAAGGUCGGUUACCACGAUGAAAAUGCGUAAGUGAGAGCACCAAGCCUUAAUUCUAUCCUAACGAUGGCAUCCGUUUGGGUGGUUAAUGACAAGGAAGUGCCCGAAUGACCAAAGUUUGGUAAAUGUCGGGUUAACCCGCCUGAAGACACUUUGUUCCUUUGGUAAACAGCAGUGCCAUUUUGUUCUGAGGUUUGAGUGGAGAGGAUUUAAGUCACACAUUAGGAACUGUGCACUGGGUCUGAGCGGAAUCUCCCCGAUGUUCUCAUUUGCUGCCUGUGUCGCUCCUGCAGGAAUGGGGCUCCUCCGGCCCGUCUUGGGGACUUGGGUCCGGGUUCUUCAUCUGCAGCUCUUAGAUUCACGCUGCACGCUGGCCUCGCGUUGACUGUGUAUGUCAGCCCCCCAUGUGUUGUCACACAUGGACUUAACCAUGAUGCAUGCGUUCCCAGAUGGGCCUGUAAUGACUCCGUCAACUUAACCCCGAAUCAAGACUCUCCUGUCCAGAACCAGGGUAGCAGAAACCCAGUACGGCCUGAGUAGCAAUUCAAAAGGGCAGCAGAGACAGCUAAUCAGUUCAUAAUGAGCAAGGAGACAGGCAAUGAAAAGAGAGCCCACGGAGGGCCUGAUAGUUUCACAAAGUCUCAGCACUCAACCAGGCUCAUGUUAAUAAAACAAACAAAUGUUUUUGGUCACGGAGAGCUAAUGUGUACGUUAUUUAAGGAUAAUAUUAAAACCAGAUUAGAUGGGUCAAGUAACAGAGUGGUUCCCUCAUUGAGCAUCUUCUCUUUGGAGAUGUGGGAAAGUUGCUCUCUUUCCGUUUUUCUUCUUUCCUUGUGAAAUGGGGCUUUAUUAAUUAGAGAUGUAAUGGGAAAUCUUUUUUUCUUUUCCCCCAGACUGGUGGCUGUUUUCUGUUUAUUUUUUAAUGUAGGACCAUGCUUUGCAGAUGUUCUCUUUGAAAUAAAAGCCUAUUCAUUGUC
Molecule: long non-coding RNA, 5929 nt
Organism: Felis catus (domestic cat)
Lineage: Eukaryota; Metazoa; Chordata; Mammalia; Carnivora; Felidae
Exons: 2
Source: RefSeq, a predicted model, not a curated record